Molecule: long non-coding RNA, 1260 nt
Organism: Brachypodium distachyon (stiff brome)
Lineage: Eukaryota; Viridiplantae; Streptophyta; Magnoliopsida; Poales; Poaceae
Exons: 7
Source: RefSeq, a predicted model, not a curated record
GCGCUUGUUUUUGCCUGCUUGCUCUUUUCUGUAUUGUUUGACCUGCAGAGAUUGUCUUCUACAAGCCGAGGGAGGUACGAUGAACGGAAGGAUUCUGCAAAUUUUUCAAUUGGACGGCAAGUACACAUUAUAGAAUAAUGAUUUCUGUGGACGAGUUGAGACUCAUCUACUGCAUGCUACUUCGGUGAUUUCAGAGCAGUAAUUUGAUAACUCAGUCUACCUUCAGCGAAGAAUCCAACUUUCCUGCCAAUGCCUUUAAAAAGGUUGUUUUCCCGGAACCAGGUGCUCCUAGAAGAAGUGUCAUCCUGAUUACAAAUGGGGUCACACAGUUUCAGUAUAUUAGGUAACCGUGCACUAUUGGGGCUGUGUUAGGCGCGUGUCUCAGACUCAUUAAUGUUUGGGUGUACCAGAUGCGCACCCAGGUGUACUCUAUGUACGAAGGAUGAGGCAGAGGAUUACUUGUCCUGAGAAAUCAACUGCUAACAAGCAAAAGAACAAGAUCAUAUUAAAAGCUGGUGCCGUCAUCAAUCAUCGUCUAGAGGCACUCCGGCGUCGUUGCUGCUAUCGAUCAUCGGUUGUGAAUAGUAGGCGCGGACUACAUUAAUUAAUGCAAAAUUGGGGGGAAGAUAUCGAUCCCCUUCAGAAAAGGAAAAUGCCCACCAAGGCCUCUCUCCUACUGCGGUGUCGGCGAAGCUUGCUUGCAAGCGGCGCCCGUGGGCUGUUGGCUGGAGUUGGAAAACAAAGAUCAUCAAAAAUGAAAAAGAAGAUUUUGUUCCUGGUCGAUUUUUCAGAGACCUGGUGGAAUGACACUGCUCAGUCUAAGUGAACAAAACCCAAAAAUGGAUGGAUCGAUCUGUGAAUGCAUCACCGAAUGUUGUCGGUCGGCCAAGAAGGAAUGAACGCAUGCCUCGAUCUCGAUCGGAGCAGGAGAUGAACAGAGGAAUGAUUCGGACAAAACACUUGAGUAAAACAAACGAAAAAGGAAGAAGAUUAAAUUGCAGUUAGUGUACCUGGGCAGCGUUGAGGGCGGAGUUGAGCAGCGUGGGCAGCGCCCGGCGUCCGACGCGGACGUCCGCCUCCACGGUCAGAUCCUUGAACUGCACCUCCACCUUCACCGCGCCUACCCCCAAUCUAACAGCACCGGACAUGAGGUGUUAUUUUCUUGUUUUAGAAACACCUGAGUACUGUUUAGUACUACAGUACAACAUAGAGUCAUAGACAUAUGCAGAUACGCAAUUCACCAGUUCACAAUUUUAUUCU